AGUCGUAACAAGGUCUCCGUUGGUGAACCAGCGGAGGGAUCAUUACCGAGUUUACAACUCCCAAACCCCUGUGAACAUACCACUUGUUGCCUCGGCGGAUCAGCCCGCUCCCGGUAAAACGGGACGGCCCGCCAGAGGACCCCUAAACUCUGUUUCUAUAUGUAACUUCUGAGUAAAACCAUAAAUAAAUCAAAACUUUCAACAACGGAUCUCUUGGUUCUGGCAUCGAUGAAGAACGCAGCAAAAUGCGAUAAGUAAUGUGAAUUGCAGAAUUCAGUGAAUCAUCGAAUCUUUGAACGCACAUUGCGCCCGCCAGUAUUCUGGCGGGCAUGCCUGUUCGAGCGUCAUUUCAACCCUCAAGCACAGCUUGGUGUUGGGACUCGCGUUAAUUCGCGUUCCUCAAAUUGAUUGGCGGUCACGUCGAGCUUCCAUAGCGUAGUAGUAAAACCCUCGUUACUGGUAAUCGUCGCGGCCACGCCGUUAAACCCCAACUUCUGAAUGUUGACCUCGGAUCAGGUAGGAAUACCCGCUGAACCUAAGCAUAUCA
RNAcentral lists this unclassified non-coding RNA (547 nucleotides) under Fusarium oxysporum. Its description in RNAcentral is "sequence contains 18S rRNA gene, ITS1, 5.8S rRNA gene, ITS2, 28S rRNA gene". The stretch from base 194 to 347 matches the Rfam family "5.8S ribosomal RNA". Lineage: Eukaryota; Fungi; Ascomycota; Sordariomycetes; Hypocreales; Nectriaceae. The record is from RNAcentral.